GUCGAGCGAAGAAUGUUAAGGAAGUUUACGGAUGGAAUUAAGAUUGACUGAUCGGCGGACGGGUGAGUAACGCGUGGGUAACCUGCCUCAUACAGGGGGAUAACAGUUAGAAAUGACUGCUAAUAUCGCAUAAGCGCACAGGACCGCAUGGUCCGGUGUGAAAAACUCCGGUGGUAUGAGAUGGACCCGCGUCUGAUUAGUUAGUUGGCGGGGUAGCGGCCCACCAAGACGACGAUCAGUAGCCGACCUGAGAGGGUGACCGGCCACAUUGGGACUGAGACACGGCCCAAACUCCUACGGGAGGCAGCAGUGGGGAAUAUUGCACAAUGGGGGAAACCCUGAUGCAGCGACGCCGCGUGAGUGAAGAAGUAUUUCGGUAUGUAAAGCUCUAUCAGCAGGGAAGAAGUUGACGGUACCUGAGUAAGAAGCCCCGGCUAACUACGUGCCAGCAGCCGCGGUAAUACGUAGGGGGCAAGCGUUAUCCGGAUUUACUGGGUGUAAAGGGAGCGUAGACGGCAGUGCAAGUCUGAAGUGAAAUCCCGGGGCUUAACCCCGGAACUGCUUUGGAAACUGUGCGGCUGGAGUGCAGGAGGGGUAAGCGGAAUUCCUAGUGUAGCGGUGAAAUGCGUAGAUAUUAGGAGGAACACCGGUGGCGAAGGCGGCUUACUGGACUGUAACUGACGUUGAGGCUCGAAAGCGUGNGGAGCAAACAGGAUUAGAUACCCUGGNAGUCCACGCCGUAAACGAUGAUUACUAGGUGUCGGGGGAUCAAGGUCCUCCGGUG
RNAcentral lists this ribosomal RNA (784 nucleotides) under uncultured bacterium. Its description in RNAcentral is "bacterial SSU rRNA". It matches the Rfam family "Bacterial small subunit ribosomal RNA", at positions 61 to 845 of the family's 1533-position model. The record is from RNAcentral.